Molecule: long non-coding RNA, 226 nt
Filed under: Prunus dulcis (almond)
Lineage: Eukaryota; Viridiplantae; Streptophyta; Magnoliopsida; Rosales; Rosaceae
Description: sRNA ncRNA
Source: RNAcentral
UAACUCGUAUAGAAGAUAUGGCAGUUGCAGUGGCACCAUCACUUUCCCUCUUUCUUCAAAAUCGCAAGAUGAAGAAGGACAACCAAAUCUCACCAUGUCAGAUUGAAAACCCACAACUUCCUCUCAAAAGAUUAAAGACACUAUUUUAUUAUAAUAACAAUUUCAACAGAUUCCGGUUCAGACCCACAACUUCCUCCCAAAGUUUUCAUACUGCCAUGGUUGAGGG